Candoia aspera is the source of this 638-nucleotide long non-coding RNA. RefSeq lists it as uncharacterized. NCBI's taxonomy places the organism in Eukaryota, Metazoa, Chordata, Lepidosauria, Squamata, Candoiidae. The record is from RefSeq and is a predicted model, not a curated record. The transcript is spliced from 2 exons.
ACAAUUAAAAAACAAAAAACAGGUGGUAUUGGUAUUCCAUUUUUCUUUACCUGUCCCCACAAUCGUCGCCUUUAGAUACAGUAGUUGUAGACGUGUUCUGUUUGACUGUGAUUAGCUUACCAAAAUAAUCCACUUGAAAUAUAUAUGAUUAUUUUUAUCAGUCUCAUCGGCUAUUCAUGACGAAUUGGUAUAAUCAUAGUUCCCUAAGGCAUAAAUCUUUCAGUGAUGAAAAAUCUCCUAGGAUAUAAAGUAAGUGGAGUGUCAAAGGAUCAACACAUUCAUCUUACAGUGAGAUAUAGAUUAUUGAAUCAGUAUCUUAUAAAAUAUAUUAGUUACUUGUUAAUCCACCUGGUUUAUGUUGAUAGAACAAUUAAAACACAAAAGGGAUGAAGGCAUUUUACAACCCAUUAUAUGUUAUUUAAAAGUUAAUUCAAUUCCUUAUUUAACUGUUUAAAAAGAAAUCAAAUUAGCUUAUAAAGAACAUAAGGGGUUGUAAAGUGGUUUCCUUAAUAUUACAGUUCAGGUUUCCUUUGCUAAAGUAUGUUCUUUGCUUAUAUUACAAGAUGACUCCUUGUACCUUGGAUUUUUCAGUAGGCUGUCAGUAUUUGCCUCUGCUGGAAUUAAAUAUAAAUUCAUAA